UUAAAAAAAUCAAACAAUUCUUAAAAAAUUGCAAAAUAACCCUUUUUCGGGUUAAAAUUGAAAAAAGAUGUUACAUAAAAAUAGUUUGUAAGAUUUUCUAACAGCAUAUAUGCAAAGUAUUUUGAUUUAUUUAAAAAUAAUUGAAAAUAGAUUUUUCAAGGACGGUGUCGAGGUCACGGGGUUGGUGUCGUUUUUCGAAAUUUGUUAACUUAAUAUAAUAGAAAAUGUUUCGUUUUAAAUUAAGAAAUGUUAAAAUUAUUAAGUUAAAAACAUUUGAUUUUAAUGACACUUAAAAUUAGACACAAUAUUAUAGGUUACUAACUAAAAAUUGAAAAAACAACAAUAAAUAAUAAAAAAU
Molecule: long non-coding RNA, 358 nt
Organism: Leptopilina boulardi
Lineage: Eukaryota; Metazoa; Arthropoda; Insecta; Hymenoptera; Figitidae
Exons: 3
Source: RefSeq, a predicted model, not a curated record